GAUGAACGCUGGCGGCGUGCCUAAUACAUGCAAGUCGAGCGAACAGAUAAGGAGCUUGCUCCUUUGAAGUUAGCGGCGGACGGGUGAGUAACACGUGGGUAACCUACCUAUAAGACUGGGAUAACUUCGGGAAACCGGAGCUAAUACCGGAUAACAUUUAGAACCGCAUGGUUCUAAAGUGAAAGAUGGUUUUGCUAUCACUUAUAGAUGGACCCGCGCCGUAUUAGCUAGUUGGUAAGGUAACGGCUUACCAAGGCGACGAUACGUAGCCGACCUGAGAGGGUGAUCGGCCACACUGGAACUAAGACACGGUCCAGACUCCUACGGGAGGCAGCAGUAGGGAAUCUUCCGCAAUGGGCGAAAGCCUGACGGAGCAACGCCGCGUGAGUGAUGAAGGGUUUCGGCUCGUAAAACUCUGUUAUUAGGGAAGAACAAAUGUGUAAGUAACUGUGCACAUCUUGACGGUACCUAAUCAGAAAGCCACGGCUAACUACGUGCCAGCAGCCGCCGUAA
RNAcentral lists this ribosomal RNA (513 nucleotides) under uncultured bacterium. RNAcentral's name for it is "partial 16S ribosomal RNA". It matches the Rfam family "Bacterial small subunit ribosomal RNA", at positions 28 to 523 of the family's 1533-position model. The record is from RNAcentral.